Long non-coding RNA from Cyprinus carpio (common carp), 1018 nucleotides. The record is from Ensembl. NCBI's taxonomy places the organism in Eukaryota, Metazoa, Chordata, Actinopteri, Cypriniformes, Cyprinidae.
GACGUGUGUCUGUGGUGCUCUAUACUCUUGUUCUGGGAACGUGCUGCUCGUGUCACUGGCUUUGGCUCGGCUCUAACACUAGCGGCUCAUUCAGACUCACUCCCACCUCUUGGCACUUGUCAAUUAUUUUUUUCAGUGUGUCAAUUUUACCUCCUUCAGCCGCCUCAAAGAGCAAACACUAGAGAGAGAGAACAGGACGGUUCUGGAGCGCCUGCUGAUACAGACGCCGGACCUGCAAACACACCAGAGCGGGGACACACAGUCAGUUCAGCUGGACACACACACACACACAACGGUCUUCAUCAGAGCAAUAACUCUGAGAAGAAAUGUACUGACAGAGGACUUCACUUCAUUUCUACUUCCAAAUCAAUAGACAUCAAGUUCACCAUCGCACUACAAAACUGAAGAACGGCAUGCAAAUGUAUGUGAACCCCCGGAGGAACCGUGUUUCUGUUGCACAUCUGGACACUAGAGUCUUUGGCAUGUUCUGGAUAAGACUGUGGGGUCAGUGUUGAGACUGUUGCGUGAUUGGUCAUUUCCAGUAGAUCCUCUGAGACACUGUUACGUACUCCAUACGUACAGGCAAAUCCCUGAGAAGAUGCAGCAGUGACCCAACAAAUGCACGCGUGAGGAUCAGGAGGACAGAGCACUAGUUUCGGCUGUUCCUCGCACCAACUCCCAUUUUAAAAAAGGGUUAUUAUAACAUCUGUUAACAUUAAAGUGGGACCUGGAAGAUCUCACUUGUAAAAGCCAGCAUCUGGAACAACCCAGAGAUUCAUGUGACAAAAAUGAAAUAUGACUGAUUAUUAUUAUUAUUAUUAUUAUUAUUAACAUUAUUAAUAUUUACUUUAUUGGAAUGUGAUGGAACGUAAUGACUUUUGUGGGACUUGCCGUGUGAACUUGUAUGAUUAGAAAAGACUAAAUGGUUUUAAAACUUCACACUUCACACUUCACACUUGUUCUGUUCACAGUCAGAAUUGGCAGUCAUAACAAAUGAAUAAAUAAAAAUAAAAUAUCA